This 450-nucleotide ribosomal RNA is filed under the name uncultured bacterium. RNAcentral describes it as "partial 16S ribosomal RNA". It matches the Rfam family "Bacterial small subunit ribosomal RNA", at positions 354 to 796 of the family's 1533-position model. The record is from RNAcentral.
GUGGGGAAUUUUGGACAAUGGGCGCAAGCCUGAUCCAGCAAUGCCGAGUGCAGGAAGAAGGCCUUCGGGUUGUAAACUGCUUUUGUACGGAACGAAACGGUCCGGGUUAAUACCCUGGGCUAAUGACGGUACCGUAAGAAUAAGCACCGGCUAACUACGUGCCAGCAGCCGCGGUAAUACGUAGGGUGCAAGCGUUAAUCGGAAUUACUGGGCGUAAAGCGUGCGCAGGCGGUUUUGUAAGACAGGCGUGAAAUCCCCGGGCUCAACCUGGGAAUUGCGCUUGUGACUGCAAGGCUGGAGUGCGGCAGAGGGGGAUGGAAUUCCGCGUGUAGCAGUGAAAUGCGUAGAUAUGCGGAGGAACACCGAUGGCGAAGGCAAUCCCCUGGGCCUGCACUGACGCUCAUGCACGAAAGCGUGGGGAGCAAACAGGAUUAGAUACCCUAGUAGUCC